This 433-nucleotide ribosomal RNA is filed under the name uncultured bacterium. RNAcentral's name for it is "partial 16S ribosomal RNA". It matches the Rfam family "Bacterial small subunit ribosomal RNA", at positions 29 to 506 of the family's 1533-position model. The record is from RNAcentral.
AGCGAACGCUGGCGGCAGGCCUAACACAUGCAAGUCGAACGAACCUUUCGGGGUUAGUGGCGGACGGGUGAGUAACACGUGGGAACGUGCCUUUAGGUUCGGAAUAACUCAGGGAAACUUGUGCUAAUACCGAAUGUGCCCUUCGGGGGAAAGAUUUAUCGCCUUUAGAGCGGCCCGCGUCUGAUUAGCUAGUUGGUUGAGGUAAUGGCUCACCAAGGCGACGAUCAGUAGCUGGUCUGAGAGGAUGAUCAGCCACAUUGGGACUGAGACACGGCCCAAACCCCUAGGGGGGGCAGCAGUGGGGAAUUUUGGGCAAGGGGCGAAAGCCUGACCGAGCCAUGCCGGGUGAAUGAUGAAGGUCUUAGGAUUGAAAAAUUUUUUCACCGGGGACGAUAAUGACGGUACCCGGAGAAGAAGCCCCGGCUAACUUCGG